UGGCAGGGUGAACCCCUGGGCGUAUGCGGAAAGCAGCCCUCUGGCCAGAGUUACUUUGCAAGCCUUGGACAAGUCAUGUGACCCCUCUGGGUCACACAGCUGGGAGCUUGCACCCCACAGCUCAGCUAUGAUUUGAGACGAACACUCUUAUGUUCCAGCUUGAGGCGAGGAAAGGAAAACCGUGGACCAGGAUCUCGACUCAGUCGGGGUCGAUGCUACCAGAAGUGUGGGCUUCAGUUGUCACCAUUGCGAGUCUUUGCAGGAGGAAGUAAACAAAACCUCUGGCUCUCUCGUGAAGUCCUUCUCCUCUCUUGUGCCCCGUGCCGAAAUAACCUACCGCAGGCCAACAUUCUGGCUAAGCAUCAGGACCCCGCCAACCACAGCUUCUGCCUCUUAUUUCCUGAGUGGUCCCCACACCUGGCAUGAUCAGAGUCCAGAGAAGUCAGGGACUUUUCCCACUGCCAUCACCUGCCUAUCCAUCUGGAUUUAGCCCCAUCUGCAAAGACUAUUAGGAGGGAGCCCCAAAUUGCCCUCCUGCACCACUCACUCUUACCAGAACAGCAACCACGGUGCCCUGAGCAUCCCCUGUAUCAAAUACUCCUGAAUUCCGAAGGCUGAGGUCAGCAUCCAGAAGACCCACAACCAGAGGAGAUGCUGUUGCUAGGAUGCGGGAAUGUUUAUUAGGCUCUCAGCCUUAAUUAGGUGCUGGCCCACCCAGGAACCCUUUUGUCAAGACUCCAAGGAGUGCUGUCCGGAAGACAUUUGCAGCCAGGACCGCAGACUAAGAAGUUUGUGUUCACACUGCUGAGCAAGACUCAGGACCACGGGGUAGGGAAUGGCCAACUCAUGAGGAGGCAGACUCGCCGUGGAUUCCAACAGAUGGCCGUCAGUGGCUUGGCAAGGGGACUUUCUCCAGAGAUGUUUUACAUGAUGGUUCCUACAGAUUCCUACAAUUCUCAGGUAGAGUUGAUGUAGCCUGCAGAUAUUGACACUGCUUCAGAGGUUGGGACAGAUCCUGCCCGGGUUUUAAAGCAAUGAAUAAACUUGGAAA
Non-coding RNA from Peromyscus maniculatus bairdii (prairie deer mouse), 1051 nucleotides. NCBI's taxonomy places the organism in Eukaryota, Metazoa, Chordata, Mammalia, Rodentia, Cricetidae. The record is from RefSeq and is a predicted model, not a curated record.